Molecule: long non-coding RNA, 1792 nt
Organism: Bactrocera oleae (olive fruit fly)
Lineage: Eukaryota; Metazoa; Arthropoda; Insecta; Diptera; Tephritidae
Source: RefSeq, a predicted model, not a curated record
UAGUCUACAUUGUCCUUUACUAUAUUCCAAUUAGAAUUUUGGUAUCACAGGCAGCUGGUGGUUUACGUCUGUGUAUGUGAAAAGUACCGUUGUGAAAUUUUUUGUUUUCAAAAAUUAUAAAAGGUGUCAAAUUGAUUUAAAUAGUGUAAUUUUUGUAAACUGUUUAUUGUUAAAAGUGGAAAACAUACAAAACUGCAAAUAUUUAUUAAAGCGUCGUAAAUUUAGCACAUUACCAUCAUGGAGAAUAUGGAGCUCUCUUUUACUUUUGACGAGUUCAAUUAUGAGCGUGAUUUUAGUGCCGAUAACUUCGAAUUUGAAUGUUUAUGGGCUGAGUAUGCCGAAGAGAUGCAGCGGCUUGAUGAAUUCGUAGACUUAGAGCAACGAUUUGCCAAACAGUUGACAAUAUCGGACACAUCUUAAAAGAAUAUACGUUUUAUGGGCCCACAUGUUAAUAUGUUACUCAUUUUAAGGAAUACAUUAUCAGCAUUUUUUUGCAGAGCAAAGCAAGUGCUUACGUUAAUAAAUAUUUAAAAUGUGCAGUAAAACUGUUCUAAAACAGUGCAAAUAACCCAUUGUCAUCAUAUCGAUAUUCAUGGCUUUAAUUUGUAUAUAUAUUUUUUCAAAAAAUCUCAUGGGUUUUACUUUUGUAUACCAAAUGCAUCAAUGUUCGCAUUAAUGUUUUGUAUUUUUUUUUUUUUGUGCAAUUUAAAUGUAUAAUACAUUUGAGAAAUGUACACAUCUACAUAUAUAUGUCAGUAUGUGUGUAUUAUCUCUACAAAUUGCCGUUGGGACAUUUAAAUUAUUUUACACCUCUCAAAUGUAUAUUAUCACUUAAAUCGUCUUUGUAAAAAAAUAUUAGUAUAAACCUGUACUUACAUGUUUAGCGUUAAUUUUUAAAACAAAUAUUUUACAAGUUUGUCAUAUGACGCCAACUUGCCAAAGUAAUGGUAUCGGUAUUUUUGUAUUUCAAGUUUUAUUUAACAUUUUUAACCCAAUCAUAUGUGCGAUACAACCUACCAAUUAUUUGUUUAAAUCUUUACAUACGUUUUCGGUCACUAAAUGGCUUCUUAUAUUGCAUAUGACUACAUUUUAUGAAUAUUUUUAUUAUGUUCGAUUACAAAAAUGACAUGUCUAUAAUUGGCAGCAUUAUAUGUGUGUUCUCUCGUUAAGAGUUUCGUAAUCGAAAUUACAUACAUAAAUAUCUUCAUUCAAACGAACAGCAUGCAACUUAUUCAACUCCCUUUUUAUAUGAGUUACUAAAUUUUUUUAAGUAUUUAAUUUUUACUCGUAGUAUCAUUCUCUAUUUUUUGGUACAAAAACUAAGCUAUAUUAUUUAGCAAAUUUACAACCCUCUCAUUUUGUAGUUUGAGGGAAAUGUAUUAAUCACUAAAAAUUCUUUCGCAUAAAUUGAGCUUUCGAUUAAAAGUACAUUUAAUAACAUAAAUUUAAAAAAGCAAGUCUUCCAUCAAAAAUUAAAAAUAUUUUAUUAUCUAUUUUAAAAAACCAUAUUACAACCUUUUUUUUGCUAAAAACCCUUAAAAAUGGAAUAAUUGUUCGAAGAAUACACUAUACUGUAAUAUAUUCAUCGGAAAAUAACUGUUUAAGUAACUCGAUAGUCGUCUGUCAAUGCUAUUACACAAUUUCUAAGUAACUUAAUCUCAAAAUGCUGUCUGGGAAGUAUUUAAAAGACCUGCACUCAUCUACAUACAAAUGUAUAUACAUUAAUUACUGAUUGAUUGUAAACAUAUUAUAGAUCACAGUUUGUUUUUUGUGAGCAUUUAUUUAUUUUUUA